UUGCUUUGGCAGCAUAUAUACUAAAAUUGGAAUAAUACAGAGAUUAGCAUGGCCACUGUGCAAGGGUAACAUGCAAAUUCAUGAAGCACUCCAUAAAAGU
RNAcentral lists this small nuclear RNA (100 nucleotides) under Prolemur simus (greater bamboo lemur). The record is from RNAcentral. Lineage: Eukaryota; Metazoa; Chordata; Mammalia; Primates; Lemuridae.